CCAUAUUUCCAGAUCUUAUAUGUAAUUAUAAGCAAUAAUAAUAAUAAUAAUAAUAAUGAAAAGAGUGACAGGUGCACUAACACCUCAUAGCAUCAGUAACUCAACAACCCGACCUACCAAGUACAGUUAAAACACACCUCCACGUUUGCAUUGUCUGCACACAGGAGACAUCAGGCAGCUGCUGGAACAUCUCGCAUUUGGAGACUGUUGAUUUUACAUUUGAAAAAUUUGGUGAACCCCACAUCCUAUUGCCAUCUCAAUGCAGCUGUGCCAAUUCUUCUGCUGUGCUGUGCUUCACAAUCUCACUCUUCUCAAUGGGGAUGUUGUUGAGCCAGAGGAUGAGAAAGACCAUGAAGACACAUCACUGAACCCCACAACCUUGAGACAAGAGCAGGAGAACAUGUGCGGGACAAUCUGGCCAUCACCGCGUCUGCUCGACUACCUGUGAAACAUUUAAACAGAGUCUUUCUUUCUUCCCACAAAUGCUGCCGUCACCUGCUCCACCACAAAAGAUCUGCAGAAAAUACACAGAAAUCACAAAUCAAAAGUGCUGUAAUAACUCUGUUUGAUGUUACAAUAAAUAAAAUAAAG
Molecule: long non-coding RNA, 591 nt
Organism: Labeo rohita (rohu)
Lineage: Eukaryota; Metazoa; Chordata; Actinopteri; Cypriniformes; Cyprinidae
Exons: 3
Source: RefSeq, a predicted model, not a curated record